RNAcentral lists this ribosomal RNA (254 nucleotides) under uncultured bacterium. RNAcentral describes it as "partial 16S ribosomal RNA". It matches the Rfam family "Bacterial small subunit ribosomal RNA", at positions 524 to 776 of the family's 1533-position model. The record is from RNAcentral.
CACGUAGGGGCCAAGCGUUGUCCGGAUUUAUUAGGCGUAAAGAGCUCGUAGGCGGUUCGACAAGUCGGGUGUGAAAACUCCGGGCUCAACCCGGAGACGCCACCCGAUACUGUCGUGACUGGAGUCCGGUAGGGGAGUGGGGAAUUCCUGGUGUAGCGGUGAAAUGCGCAGAUAUCAGGAGGAACACCGGUGGCGAAGGCGCCACUCUGGGCCGGUACUGACGCUGAGGAGCGAAAGCGUGGGUAGCAAACAGG